AACGCUAGCUACAGGCUUAACACAUGCAAGUCGAGGGGCAGCACUAGGUAGCAAUACUGAGGUGGCGACCGGCGCACGGGUGCGUAACGCGUAUCCAACCUUCCCGAUACUCUUGGAUAGCCUUCCGAAAGGGAGAUUAAUACAAGAUGGUGUUUCACUUUCGCAUGUUAUUGAAACUAAAGAUUUAUCGGUAUCGGAUGGGGAUGCGUGACAUUAGAUAGUAGGCGGGGUAACGGCCCACCUAGUCUACGAUGUCUAGGGGUUCUGAGAGGAAGGUCCCCCACACUGGAACUGAGACACGGUCCAGACUCCUACGGGAGGCAGCAGUGAGGAAUAUUGGUCAAUGGUCGGAAGACUGAACCAGCCAAGUAGCGUGAAGGAUGAAGGUUCUAUGGAUUGUAAACUUCUUUUAUACGGGAAUAAAACCUCCCACGUGUGGGAGCUUGUAUGUACCGUAUGAAUAAGCAUCGGCUAACUCCGUGCCAGCAGCCGCGGUAAUACGGAGGGUGCGAGCGUUAUCCGGAUUUAUUGGGUUUAAAGGGAGCGUAGACGGGGGAUUAAGUCAGUUGUGAAAGGCUGCGGCUCAACCGCAGCACUGCAGUUGAUACUGGUUCCCUUGAGUGCGGUUGAGGUGUAUGGAAUUCGUGGUGUAGCGGUGAAAUGCUUAGAUAUCACGAAGAACUCCGAUUG
This 690-nucleotide ribosomal RNA is filed under the name uncultured fecal bacterium TB135. RNAcentral describes it as "bacterial SSU rRNA". It matches the Rfam family "Bacterial small subunit ribosomal RNA", at positions 32 to 715 of the family's 1533-position model. Lineage: Bacteria; Pseudomonadati; Bacteroidota. The record is from RNAcentral.